GCGGGUGUAGUUUAGUGGUAAAACCUCAGCCUUCCAGAGCUGAUGUCGUGGGUUCGAUUCCCAUCACCCGCUCCA
Molecule: transfer RNA, 75 nt
Filed under: Bacillus amyloliquefaciens
Lineage: Bacteria; Bacillati; Bacillota; Bacilli; Caryophanales; Bacillaceae
Description: tRNA-Gly
Rfam family: tRNA
About the family: Transfer RNA (tRNA) molecules are approximately 80 nucleotides in length. Their secondary structure includes four short double-helical elements and three loops (D, anti-codon, and T loops). Further hydrogen bonds mediate the characteristic L-shaped molecular structure. tRNAs have two regions of fundamental functional importance: the anti-codon, which is responsible for specific mRNA codon recognition, and the 3' end, to which the tRNAs corresponding amino acid is attached (by aminoacyl-tRNA synthetases). tRNAs cope with the degeneracy of the genetic code in two manners: having more than one tRNA (with a specific anti-codon) for a particular amino acid; and 'wobble' base-pairing, i.e. permitting non-standard base-pairing at the 3rd anti-codon position.
Source: RNAcentral